RNAcentral lists this ribosomal RNA (465 nucleotides) under uncultured bacterium. RNAcentral's name for it is "partial 16S ribosomal RNA". It matches the Rfam family "Bacterial small subunit ribosomal RNA", at positions 28 to 507 of the family's 1533-position model. The record is from RNAcentral.
GACGAACGCUGGCGGCGUGCUUAACACAUGCAAGUCGAACGGAAAGGCCCCUUUGGGGGUACUCGAGUGGCGAACGGGUGAGUAACACGUGAGUAACCUGCCCUUGACUUCGGGAUAACUUCAGGAAACUGGGGCUAAUACCGGAUAGGAAUCCUUGCUGCAUGGUGGGGGUUGGAAAGCUUCGGCGGUUUUGGAUGGACUCGCGGCUUAUCAGCUUGUUGGUGGGGUAGUGGCUUACCAAGGCUUUGACGGGUAGCCGGCCUGAGAGGGCGACCGGCCACAGUGGGACUGAGAUACGGCCCAGACUCCUACGGGAGGCAGCAGUGGGGAAUAUUGCACAAUGGGCGGAAGCCUGAUGCAGCAACGCCGCGUGCGGGAUGACGGCCUUCGGGCUGUAAACCGCUUUCAGCAGGGGCGAAGCUUGUGGUGACGGUACCUGCAGAAGAAGCACCGGCUAACUACGUG